GCGAAUUACAAAAGUUGCAUUUGGUGUGUCUAGGACAGAAAAAAACAGCAGUUUAAAGCUCAAGAGAAGCCACAAUAAACAAAAGAACCAUUGUGUUCACAGCUCACACCAAAGGUUAUUUACAGAUUCAAACACCUUCAAAACUUGGUAUGCGUCUUUAUUCCUACCAACCAAAGGGUGAUACAGGACCGAAAUAGAAUCAUCAGAAGCUUGCAACAAGUUUACACUGGUCAGGGAAAGUAUAUCGGCAAUUCCCGAUUAUAUUACAGUUCUGAAGCUUUGAGAGAAUGGAGGGUCCCUGCAAAUUUAUUUCUACUCGGAAGACACCGCGCUGUGAGCUAUACCCCUUAUCAAACAACCGAAACGUUGACAGCCUUGCCAGGAUUAGUAAACACGUGCCUUCGGCGGGAAAGUCUCGACUUCGUCAUCCAAGGUGUUCAUGUGAACUGGCCUGUAUUCUAGUCUAACCUUUUCGUCCUCCCAGUACCUACAUGAAAGAUAUUGUCAGAUUCUUGAUAUGUGAAAUUGCAAAGUAUUUCUUUACGGAGAGAGUACUAAAGAGAAGACACUAACCCUAGCGAGUGCUUCAUCCACUUGUCGUCAUCUCUUGUCUGCGAUGAAAGAGAGGAAAUAUAUUGUUACAAAAAAGAAACCUGUGGUGCACACACAAGAGAGCACAAGUGAUCAGAAGAGCAGCAUACCUUGAAAUCUUCGCGAGCAUGAGCUCCUCUGCUCUCUUGGCGAGCCUCAGCUGAAUGCAUGGUUAUGCAUGCGUUUAUUAGAAGAUUUUCUAAUUCUAUGGUCUCUAUCAAGUCCGAAUUCCUGCAGAAACAAAUGACAAUUAUUAUGCCCAAUUAGCAGAAAUAUUGAAAAUAAGCUGAAGAUAACACCAUUUAAUGAGACUCUUACCAUAUGAGACUUCUGUCACUGAGCUUGACAUCAUGGAAACUUUUCUGUGCUUCACUAAUCAGCUCGCAACCUGAUAAGUUCAAAGACCAGAGAAAAGCCAUCAGUAUACAACCUUUCAUAUACUUUAGUGCUGGAGUCUACUGUAUCUAUCUAACAUGUUCACCACCUACUGCUAGAUGGCCUCAAGAUAACUUACAGUGAAGAACAAGACAAAUGAUGUAUGCAUACCUUCUGUUAGAGUUUCCUGUGUGCGGAAAACUGCAGCAUUAUUUUGCAUAAUACGUUGCAUAUUGAGGCGGAUCUUCGAAGUAGGCAGUGAUCCAUUUGCAUUUCUCAGCUUGUCCAACCAAGCGAUGGUCUUCUCCCCUGCGUCUUUUUCAAGAGGUUUCUGUGUCUCUCCUAUAAUAAAUAUGGUGCACCAUGGAGCGAGAAUAAGCUAAGAGCCUAAGAGUAGUAAAACAACUAACAAAAUACUAGUCAACAAGACAUGAACUUGCCUGGCUUGGAAAUCUCAGCAACCCUGUUUGCGCAAGCCCUCCCAAAGACAACAAUGUCAAGAAGUGAAUUUGCACCAAGACGGUUUGCACCAUGAACAGAUGCACAAGCUGCCUCCCCAGCAGCCAUCAGACCAGGAAUAAUUGUG
This 1552-nucleotide long non-coding RNA is filed under the name Triticum aestivum (bread wheat). RNAcentral describes it as "long non-coding RNA (TAES_LNC006215)". Lineage: Eukaryota; Viridiplantae; Streptophyta; Magnoliopsida; Poales; Poaceae. The record is from RNAcentral.